UACGUAGGGACCAAGCGUUGUUCGGAUUUACUGGGCGUAAAGGGCGCGUAGGCGGCAAUUCAAGUCAGCUGUGAAAUCUCCGGGCUUAACUCGGAACGGUCAGCUGAUACUGCUUUGCUAGAGUGCAGAAGGGGCAAUCGGAAUUCUUGGUGUAGCGGUGAAAUGCGCAGAUAUCAGGAGGAACACCGGUGGCGAAGGCGGUGGUCUGGGCCGGCACUGACGCUGAGGAGCGAAAGCGUGGGUAGCAAACAGG
This 253-nucleotide ribosomal RNA is filed under the name uncultured bacterium. RNAcentral describes it as "partial 16S ribosomal RNA". It matches the Rfam family "Bacterial small subunit ribosomal RNA", at positions 524 to 776 of the family's 1533-position model. The record is from RNAcentral.